UUGGAAACUCGUAUGAAAGGCUUAAUUAACCAAGUUAGUUUGUUGGUUUUUAAUAAUAAAUUAAAGAUAAAGUAAGAAUUCUUUAAUAAAUUAGGGGACGAUAAGACCCUAAAAGCUUUAUGAUUAGAAGGAGAUUAGUGUUAUUAUGACUGUUAAUUAGCUGGGGCAGCGGUUUUGUAUAGUGUAUGUGUAUUUAAAUAUAAAUAAAAGAUCCUUUAAAUAAAGAUUUUAUGUAGGAGUUACUUUAGGGAUAACAGUGCGAUAUAUUUGGGGAGACCGUAUCUAUAAAUAUGCUUGCAACCUCGAUGUUGAAUUAGAAUUUCUAUGCGGGCAGAAUAUGCACAAGAAAGUUUGUUCAACUUUUAAAUUUCUACAUGAUCUGAGUUCAAACCGG
RNAcentral lists this ribosomal RNA (394 nucleotides) under Stenogammarus compressosimilis. RNAcentral's name for it is "partial 16S ribosomal RNA". The stretch from base 207 to 394 matches the Rfam family "Bacterial large subunit ribosomal RNA", at positions 2084 to 2619 of the family's 2925-position model. Lineage: Eukaryota; Metazoa; Arthropoda; Malacostraca; Amphipoda; Pontogammaridae. The record is from RNAcentral.